GCCUCUCCAUAAAUGGGGGUAAGGCUAGCCGACAUUCACCUCUCCCAGACCCUGCGUAAAGCGGGAGCCUUGUGCACUGGGUACGACCUUUUUGUCGUAUUGUGAUAAUCAUCUUCCCAUUAAAUUUUGUACUGUAAAGUCAAUAGUCAUAUCAUUCUUCCUACCUAAUGAAAUCUCUUGACUGUUUCUCUACAUGUAUUACUCUUCUUUCCAAUUAGUGCACCUGUUGUAUGAAAUUGGAUAUACUUAUUUAUUUCAAACAUCAAACCUUAGGUAUUUUAUUGUUAAAAGUUGCAACCGAGAAAAUUUGGAAUUAUCUGUACAACAAGGAUUAUGGGCAACUCAGAGGAGCAACGAGUCCAAACUUAAUGAAGCUUUUGACUCUGCUGAAAAUGUGAUUUUAAUUUUCUCAGUCAACCGGACUCGACAUUUCCAGGUAGGAUUGCAAAUUACAUCCCAAUGUUUUUCACAUCGCUUUCUAUUUUUAGUUAUAUCAAGUUAUCCACUGGGGGUGCUAGAAUUAAAAUUGCCUAUUCUUUGUUAGGGUUGUGCAAAGAUGAUGUCCAGAAUUGGUGGGUCUGUUGGUGGAGGGAAUUGGAAAUAUGCACAUGGAACCGCACAUUAUGGGCGAAAUUUCUCUGUCAAAUGGUUAAAGGUAUAAUUUUGUUUAAACUUUAUGGCAACCUUCUACUCAUUGAGCUAGAAUUUGAUUCCCUCUUUGAUAUUUUUUUCUGCUGCAAACAAACAGGAUCCUACAAAAUUUCUUGUGAGAAUUAUCAAGUCUGUUUUAUUAUUGUUGUUGUUCUCACUCUUACUGAUUGGCAUGCUAAGGAGUAUGGCUUUGCUUUUAUGUUCCUUGUUAGUUGUAGUUCACAUUAUCUGUUUUAUUUGUUUGAGGGCUUGUAUCUUAAUAGUUACUUAAUUCUUUUGAUCCUAUGAUCUCAAAUUGUUGGCUUGAAUCAAGAUUGGAGUUGAUUGUACUCGUAUCGACUUUAAGUUAUUUGGACUUAUUUCAAUGUUUCAAUUCAUAGCAUACCUAAACCCCCAUCUGUGUGCCAACUUGAGUCAAGUUUCAGUUGGGAUCACUACUUCCAUCUGGAAAUUAGGAGAAGCUAUUAUGAUGGAAGACCUCAGUUUAAAAUUUAAUGGGCAUGGAUAAGCAGUAAAUGAUAAGAUGUGAUGACUAAUUGCAGUUUCUUUGAUGCAGCUAUGUGAACUAUCCUUUCACAAAACUCGUCAUUUGAGGAACCCCUACAAUGAGAACCUACCAGUGAAGGUACAAUCUGGAGCCUUAAAACUAUAGAAACACCCACGUAAACACCAUUUGAUUUUUGUCUGUUCUUUCUUGAUUGAUUGUGAAAUCACCCAAUUUUUAUUUCUGUCAGGAUUUUCAUUAUGUAUCAGUAUGCAGCUGGUUUGUCAUGCUAUCCAUGAUUUAGACAGCUGAAAACAUUUUCUUACAUUUAUAAAAGACAUUCAUUAAUCAAAAUGAAAGUUACGAUCCAGGGGACUCGGAGUCCACUGAACAGUCUUGAGUAUCAAACUUAAAUUGAUAACCAAAACCUAAAAAAUAAUACAAUAUAACCCAUAUGACUAAAUGUACAAUCCAUCAAUACAUAUGUGUGCAUGUAUUUUUGUGGGUCCUUUGUGGUUUGUGUGUGUGUGUGUGUGGUAUUAACAGAUAAGUUAGCAUUGUUUAGAACGAUACUGAAGUUAUUGUCUAAUGUCAUGAUGUAUCACUUGGCCGAGUGCUGCUUAAAUAUAAGUGUUGAUGCAUCACUUGGUUCUUAAAUAGAACAAAUCUGAUAGAAUAUCAUGUUAAUAACUUCUUUACGUGUGCGCCUAUUUUUUAUUAGCUGUUUCACCAUGCGUUUUCACUUGCAAUCAUUACUAUUGUCAACAUGUAUGCUUGCUCAUGUGAUACUACUUUCUUGUGUAGACAUACCUUGAGACGAAAAAAAUAACUUCUGAUCUUAUUGUCGUGCUUGUACUCUUGCAGAUAAGUAGAGAUUGUCAAGAGCUAGAGCUCUCCGUCGGUGAGCAGUUGGCAUCCUUGCUUUAUCUUGAGCCAGAUAGUGAACUUAUGGUAUGUUCGAAGUUCACAGGAAACUAGUUAAAUUUUGCGAAAAAGAAAUUGAAGUGAAAAAAAAAAGGUUAAAAGGAAAGAAAGCAAAAAGAGAGAAAGCAAUAGAAUUCCAAAAGUAUUUACACUGUGUUUAUCAAUUAAUUUUUAACAUAGGAAUUUAUCUCGAUACUUCUCCUCUCUUAGUUUUCAUUUGUGUCGUCCAUUAAAUUAGAGGCCAUUUUGCUGUUAAAUUAGAGGCCAUUUUGCUGUUAAAUUAGAGGCCAUUUUGCUGGGGCAGGACAAGAUCUGUUUUGCACUAUAAUGUGUCCUUUGCUUUUAAUUUUAUGUUGUUAAAUGGUCAGAACUUGAUGAAUCUGAAUCUUGUUUAUCGCUCUCUGCGUACAGGCAAUUUCGAUUGCGGCAGAAUCAAAACGCGAAGAAGAAAAAGCAAAGGGAGUCAAUCCAGAGAAUGGUGGUGAGAAUCCAGACAUUGUCCCAUUUGAGGACAAUGAAGAGGAGGAAGAGGAAGAAAGUGAAGAUGAGGAAGAUAGCUUUGGUCAAGUUCCCGGAGCAGGAAAUGAUGGCAGAGGAAGGGGCAGAGGAGGAGGAGUCAUGUGGCCUCCUCACAUGGCUCUACCAAGAGGUGGCAGACCUAUGCCCGGGAUGCAGGGUUUUCCCCCAGGAAUGAUGGGUCAUGAUGCAAUGCCCUAUGUACCUGACGGAUUUGUAAUGCCAAAUCCGUUCGGUAUGGCCCCUCGGGGUUUCAAUCCGUAUGGUCCCAGGUUUUCAGGUGAUUUUACAGGGCCCAACCCUGGCAUGAUGUUUCGUGGGAGACCACAACAACCUGGAUUUCCACCCGGUGGGUUUGGGAUUAUGGGUCCUGGACGUGCACCAUUCAUGGGAGGGAUACAUCCAGGCCGAGGUGGUCGGCCAACAGGUAUGUCUCCAAUGUUUCCACCACCCCCACCACCAUCAUCUCAAAACCCUAACCGGAUGCCGAAGAGAGAUCCAAGGGGAGCUUCCACUGAUCGGAAGGGACAAGAUAUGUCAGGUCCAGAUGAUGAGACACAUUAUGGUGCUGGAAACAGCUCUAGAAAUGAUGAUAGCGAAAGUGAGGAUGAGGCCCCGAGGCGGUCGAGGCAUGGAGAUGGAAAGAAGAAACGGCGAGACUCGGAAGGAGAUGCGACCUCCGAGCACUAGCAGCUCAGCAGUACUAGUGAUGCCAUGCCCAUGCCACUAACGAGGGAAACCCGUCUUCCUCCACACCAUAGGCUGACCGCAUUUUCUUAGAAAAUGGAAGGGUUUCAUUCGGGAUAUAUGGAUUCUUUAGUGCUACUGAUGUCUUUCCUUUUUGUUACAAGUUUGAAAUAUGCGGUAAAUUCUGUGAUAUUUUUGUAACUAUCCUGGUAAAUUCUGCGACAUUCACCUCUCUCAGACCUUGCGUAAAGCGGGAGCCUUGUGCACUGGGUACGACCUUUUAUCCUGGUAAAACAAAAGGUAAAAGGUCAAGGUAGCUGAAUUUAUAAUUAUAUAACUUUUUUUUAAUCCUCUGCAGCUAGUUCGAAUCGAUUUAGUACAGAAUACCGUUAGUAUAAAAAUAAAGCG
RNAcentral lists this long non-coding RNA (3670 nucleotides) under Malus domestica (apple). Its description in RNAcentral is "long non-coding RNA (MDOM_LNC009621)". The record is from RNAcentral. Lineage: Eukaryota; Viridiplantae; Streptophyta; Magnoliopsida; Rosales; Rosaceae.